RNAcentral lists this antisense RNA (75 nucleotides) under Streptomyces antibioticus. RNAcentral describes it as "ASpks sRNA". It matches the Rfam family "ASpks TB sRNA". RNAcentral also lists the same sequence under 1 other name. Lineage: Bacteria; Bacillati; Actinomycetota; Actinomycetes; Kitasatosporales; Streptomycetaceae. The record is from RNAcentral.
CUUCACCGACCCGAGCCACAGCGGGCUGUCGUCGGGCCGGUCCUGUCCGUAGGUGGCGAGCAGCGCCUGGGCCUC